ACAUUUUUUUUAAAUGAAGUUAAGCUCUAGCUUCUCCAGUCCCCUGUACUCACCACUUUUGUUCCUUUUUAAGCAGUCACUGCUUCCGCAGGAGUCAAAAUAACUUCUGGAACUGGAGUGCAAACAGGCUCCACCUUGGUUCCAGCUGGAGUGCCAACAAGACCACAAGUACCCCAGUCAGAAACCACUGUCGUGGCAACCAGAGAAGUAGAAACUGA
Molecule: long non-coding RNA, 218 nt
Filed under: Cercocebus atys (sooty mangabey)
Lineage: Eukaryota; Metazoa; Chordata; Mammalia; Primates; Cercopithecidae
Description: lncRNA (ENSCATG00000045633.1)
Source: RNAcentral